This 11678-nucleotide long non-coding RNA is filed under the name Daucus carota (carrot). RNAcentral describes it as "long non-coding RNA (DCAR_LNC003211)". The record is from RNAcentral. Lineage: Eukaryota; Viridiplantae; Streptophyta; Magnoliopsida; Apiales; Apiaceae.
ACUGGGUGAAGGCGGGUUUGGGUCAGUUUUCAAAGGCACUUUACCAAACUCCAGAGCUAUAGCAGUUAAAAGGUUGAAGAAUUUGAAGCAGGGAGAGAAGCAGUUCCGCGCAGAGGUGAGCACAAUCGGGCAAAUUCAACAUAUCAACCUUGUUCGCCUUCAAGGAUUCUGCAUAGAAGGUGAAAAAAGACUUUUGGUGUUUGAUUACAUGAAGAAUGGUUCGCUUGAAAAUCACUUGUUUCGCCAAAAUUCCAAUGUUUUUCUAGAAUGGAAAGCAAGGUACAACAUCAUGAUCGGAACUGCUAGAGGGUUGCAUUAUCUCCACGAAAAGUGCAGGGAUUGUAUCAUACAUUGUGAUAUUAAGCCUGAUAACAUUUUGUUGGAUGAUGAGUUUAAUGCGAAAGUUGCUGAUUUCGGCCUAGCCAAGCUUCUUGGCCGAGAGUUUAGCCGAGUCUUGACAACAAUAAGAGGAACACGAGGAUAUCUUGCACCAGAAUGGAUUUCGGGUGAGGCCAUCACUGUAAAAGCAGAUGUUUUUAGCUACGGAAAGCUUUUGUUUGAGAUCAUAUCAGGGAGGAGAAAUAUGGAGUUGUUAGAUGAUGGUGACUAUUUCCCGGCUCUAGUUGCAAAGAAAUUAAGUGAAGGAGAAGAAGCGGUAAUGCAAUUCUUGGAUCAAAAAUUGCAAGGUGAAGCAGAUCCAAGCGAAGUGCUUAGAGCCUGCAGAGUGGCUUGUUGGUGCAUUCAAGCUGAUGAGAAGAAUAGACCAAGUAUGGGGCUUGUGAUUCAGUUUCUAGAGGGAAUUAUAGAAGUUGAGAUUCCUCCAUUUCCUCGGUUUCUCCAUGGUUUUACAAAGGAUACUGCAGAUCACUCCAUAAUUUACGAUCAAUGGACAUCUGAAACAACUUCAUCUAGUAGAUAGAAACAUGUUUUUUAUUUGUUGUUCCAUUCUGGCAAAGACCACGAAUGGGGAUAAUCAUUCUGCUCAACAAAAUUUCUGAAGUCAAGAUUCCUCCACUUCCACGGUGUCCUCAACACUUCAGUGAUUAGUAUCAACCCGUGAUUUAAGAGCACUACACAUUCGACACAACUUCAUCCAGUUGUUAGCUAUGUGUUUGUGUUCGUUCUAUUUUAGAGCAAGUUUUUUGUACUCCAAUGACAAUGACAGUUUAAGCACUUAUUUUGGCAACACAAAAACCUCGAAAGAUAUUUCCUAAUGGUUGCGCGAACACACACACAUAAAACUUGAAGAUAAUAAUAAAAGGAAACAUCCCAAUAUUCAUAAUGAUUACCAGAUAUCAUAUUUUGCUGACUACAUCUGCUAUUUAUACAAGAGUUUACCGAACUUCUCAAAAGAUAUAUUAGUAGUGAGUACAGAGAAUUUAGCGGCAUACCUAAAGUGCACUCUCUUGUCCAUUCAUCUCUUGCAAAACCACCACAACCAGGAGUGGAAAGAGUAAUCUUGAAAACAUCUGUGAGGGUAAAAAAAAAUUGCAUUACAAAUCAGCAAGGUCUAGAUUAAAAAGUGCAAUUAAACUCAAACACGAGAAAAUAAAUGUCAUGCACAUUAACAAAAGAUUAUUUACCACAAUUAACAUCAAGACAAAGCAAAGAGAUUUGUUGAUUGGUUGUCAAGUCCAAAAUGAUGUACCUUUUAGUCAUCUCGUGGCCUUGAAAAACAAAACCCCACUUACUUCGACUAACAUGCAUCUCAGUUGAAGUAUAUACCUAAUACCUGGUUUUCAAGUUUAGCACAACUUCAAAAAUCAUCUUCGUAUCUAGGGCUCUUAAUCAAAUUUUGGGGGGAUUACCCGUACUAUAAAUUGUGUCAAGACAUCCCAAGUGCUCAUUGUCUUACUUCCCUGAGUUCCCUUGAUUUUUGAAGAAAACCCUCCCCGUCCCUAAUUCUUUUGACUCAGGAUCUUAAACAGAAUUUUGGGUAUUCAAUUAUAAUAUUAAGUUAUAUCACAAAUCUGUUGAUAAUCAAUCAAAAAUUAAAAUUAUGUUUGAAAAUUCGAUGUUGUUCAAUUAAUAUUACUUGCUUUUGACCUGUGCGAAGCACGAGCGAUUAUAUAUUUCGUAAUUUAUUAUUUAUAAUUUAAAUUUUAAUAUUAUUUGGGAAUUGAUAAAUAAGCUCCAUAUCUUACUAUUUAAGCUCCAAUUUUAAAAUUUAUACCAUAUUUACCCAUACUUUCUGCACAUGUUUCCCUCAUAUUGUAGGUGUUAAUGCAUGAAAAAAUAGAAUUGGAGCUUAAAUAGUAACAUUUGGAGCUUAUUUAUCAAUUCCCUUAUUUUAUUAGUAUUUUAGUAUUAAUGGAUUGAAUUUUAAUUAAAUUGUAUUAUUCAACUGACUAUAUAUAUAUAUAGUACAUUUAAUCCGAAUUUAAUACACGUAGAUUUAAAAAUAAAAAAAUCAGAAAAUUCAAAUAUUUUCCAAACGUAGGCGAUCGUGUAAUCAUCAAUAUAUAUAUAUAAAGGAGGAUGCGGGCGUCUCUAGGAUGGCUCGAUUCAGUAUUCUGAUUUUUCUUGAAUUUCAGAGAGAAAAAAUAUAUUUAUAAUUCAAAAAAUCAGGUUCCAGAAUUCUAAAGGUAAUACAAUUCUUUUCUUAUCGGAUUCCAAAGGUAAUACACUUCUUUUUUAUCGAAUUUUAAAGGUAAUACAAUUCUUUUUUAUCGAAUUCUAAAAGUAAUAAAAUUCUUUAUAUAUUUAUAUAUUGAAGAUUUAUAACAUAACUAAAAUUUUAUCUUCAAUUUUAUUUUAUUAAAGUUUCCACAUAAAUUUGUAUCAAAUAUGUAUACAAACUUAUUUUUUCGCAGGGCCCGUCAUUCUUCCUUUUUCUACUAAUAUUGUAAUUUUGUCUACUUCAUAAUGUAGAUUGAGGCAUGUGAUCCUGCAAGCGGUUGACUUUAUUACUAUAAUGAAAAGUCUGGGAUAAGUCAAUGGGAAAGACCUGUUGAUUCUUCUUUGAACUUGGAACCACCAGCUUCUUCGCCUGUUCCUGCCGAUUGGCAAGUGCUAUUUGAUGAAACAACUGGUAUGUGAUGCACCUGGUCAGUUUUAUUGGAAUAUGAAUUUUAGAUAAUCUUUAUGUGAGAAAAUAUUGAUUGAAGAGACUUAAGUUUGCAGCAAGCAUAGUCUAAAAUCACCACCUGUUCCUACUCUACUUCUAAUUUCUAGAUGGAUAUAACUUGCUCUGACUUGGCACCGGAGAUCACCUGCCACCGAUUGCUCAACAUUAUAAAACACCCGUAAGUUUUCUGCUCAUAAUAAUCUCUAUGUUUUUCUCAAUCAAUUUAAAGGUUUGUUGAAUGUUGGUUACUGCAAGCUGUUUGUGUAAUUGUCUAGGUUAGCUUAAUGUCUAGGUUAGCUUAAUAUUGAUUAUUUCCGGCCUCUGGGAAUCGAUUCUACAAGACAGUUUAACAGAAGUUUGGAACAAAGUGAGGAUAUUAUUUGUUAAAAAGAGAGUUAUUUAUCUGAAAUACAUGAUAUGUUUAGUUCCUGCGAUAACUCUAGCACACAUGUAUUCAAACACUAAAACAGGGAUACCACAGGCCAUACCAGAGGCCUCUCUAUUUGUGUGAUUCUGUAAGUCAGCAAAAUCAAGUUUUUAUUAACCUCGAAAAGAUAUUUACUAAAGACCGAGAUGAAUGUCGUAAAGAGGUAAAACCAUAUAGAACUAUGGUCCAUGUAGCUGCUAUCUAUUGAUAAUAACUACUUACACAAUAGCACUCUAUUUAAAAACUGAAAGGGACUAAGGAACCCGGCCUCCUAUUAUCCAGACACCCACUUACAGCUUCAAAUCUAAAGCAUUGAUCAUUUAUUUUUUUGUAUAAGCAUAUCCCUGUAUAUAAUCUUUGUCUACAAAAUAAUGAAUGUACACAAAAGCUGGUCAGAAGUCUCAAGCCGUAUAAAUGGAUGACAUCCUUAUCUCAUAAGGUAACCAACAAACGCUUUUCUGAGUUGAAAAGUUUCCGACCCACCUAAUCAAUCUUUCCAGUUUGCCUUUGCGCCUUGCAACAACCGUUCUUCCUUCACUUAAUCCCUGAGAGUUCAGUAAAAGUGUGAGCAACCUUAUUAGACUUCUAAAUUAUGUAUCACAAUCUCAAAGCUGAUGUUUAAAAUAAAAAUAACUAGAUAGAAUCUUAUGUACAUAUUAUAUUAGGCUUUAUUUACAUUAUGUUCUUUAACAAUUUAUUCAACAGUUUAAUCCCCAAUGUCCGUUACUUGGUCAGUGAUGUAUCUGAUUAAUCUGUCAUACCAAUGCUGGCAUAUUAAGAAAAGAAGAUCCUCUACUAAUGAUGCUCACAACUGCAGAAACUGAGCAAAUACAACACUUCAGACAGGGCUCUGCCAUGUGUCAGUUUUUAAUUAUUCUGAACUUUUAAGGUUUAAAAACUAAAUGCUGCAUCAUGUACUCAUAAUAAAUAUUGUAUUUUGACAUGCCCAUCGUGCCAUGUUGUCAUUCAUGUUGUGUUGUGAAAUUGCAAUAGAUCUUCCUGUUAUUCGAUUAUAUUGCUUGCUCAGUUAUGAUCAGUGUUACAGUAUGGCAGAGAAUUUUUCUGACCAUAUUUUUAGCUUAUUUUUUACAGAAUACGGAAUUUUUACAUUCAACUAUGGAUGGAUAUGAUAUCUCCACACAAACGCAACAUUUGCGAAGACAUAUCUCAGCUUUAGCACGCCAAGAAAGGAUUCUUAAAAUGCAGAUUAAGAAGCAUCCAUCACGUGCCAAUCAUAACAAAACGCUCAUAGAGAAGAAGAUAUGCAAGCAUUCACGAUUUAGACGGAAAAUUUCACUCAUCCAGAAUAGAUUCAAAAAUAACCUGCAACAACGCAUCAGUUCCAUGGAUAUAAUUGUCAAAUACUACACACGUACAAUGAGGGCAAUGAUUCUUCAGACUCCUACUGAAUCAUUUGAAAGAAAUGGUAAAGUCAACAAACUAUAAAUUUCUUUUCAGUUGCAAGCUUAUAUAUUAACAUAAAAAAUUGUAUAAUUCUAGAAAAUAAUUGUAAUAAAAAUAAUUAUAAAUAAAUAUCAGCAUACAUGAGCAGAACAUAUAUUUAACUAUCCUCUCCAAAUUUUUAACAGAUGAUAUUAGUCAAAAGUCUACCCCAAUGGAAGUGAAUUCUAUACGGAUUGAAGCAAAUCCAUCCAGGACUGCAAAUAGAUUCAAUGGUCAGUUUUAAACAAGUUCUGUUGGUAUUGUAGUUAUUUAUAAAUUUCUUUUCGGUUGCAAGCUUAUAUGUGAACAUAUCUUUGUAUAAUUUUAGAAACUAAUAGUCAUAAAAAUAACUAUAAAUGAAUAUAAACAUACGUGAUUAGAACGUGUAUUAAAAUAUCCUCUUUAAAUUUAUUGCAGAAAAUAUUGGACAAAAUUCUACCCAAAGGGAACUGGAGUCUACACUACCGAAAGCAAAUACAUCCAGGACUGCCCCUAGAUUCAAUGGUCAGUUUUAAAUAAUAAUUCUAGAAAAUAAUAGUAUAAUAAAAAUAACUAUAAACAAAUAUCAGCAUACAGGAGUAGGACAUGUAUUUAACAAUCCUCUUCAAAUUUUUAACAGAUGAUAUUGGACAAAAUUCUACCCCAAUGGAAGUGGAUUCUAUACUGCCUGAAGCAAAUCCAUCUAUGACUGCAAAUAGAUUCAAUGGUCAGUUUUAAACAAGUUCUGUUGGUAUUAUAAUUAUUUAUAAAUUUCUUUUCGGUUGCAAGCUUAUAUGUGAAUAUAUCUUUGUAUAAUUUUAGAAACUAAUAGUCACAAAAAUAACUAUAAAUGAAUAUAAACAUACAUGAUUAGAACGUGUAUUUAAGUAUCCUCUUUAAAUUUAUUGCAGAAAAUAUUGGACAAAAUUCUACCCAAAUGGAACUGGAAUCUACACUACUGGAAGCAGAUACAUCCAGGACUGCACAUAGAUUCAAUGGUCAGUUUAAACAAGUUUUUUAACCGGUCUUUGCGGCCAUUUAUUAUAGUUAUUGAAUGUAUGCUCUUGCUUCUGUAUCACAUAUAGUACCCAAUAUUAUUAAAUGUAAUAUAAAAAUAUUGAUGUAUCUACAAGUUUUUUUGUAAUUCAAUUUGUAGUCUAAUUUAAUUAAGUAUCCUCUUUAAAUUUAUUGCAGAAAAUAUUGGACGAAAUUCUACCCAAAUGGAACUGGAGUCUACACUACCGGAAGCAGAUACAUCCGAGACUGCACAUAGAUUCAAUGGUCAGUUUAAACAAGUUUUUUAACCGGUCUUUGCAGCCAUUUAUUAUAGUUAUUGAAUGUAUGCUCUUGCUUCUGUAUCACAUAUAGUACCCAAUAUUAUUAAAUGUAAUAUAAAAAUAUUGAUGUAUCUACAAGUUUUUUUGUAAUUCAAUUUGUAGGCUAAUUUAAUUAAGUAUCCUCUUUAAAUUUAUUGCAGAAAAUAUUGGACAAAAUUCUACCCAAAUGGAACUGGAGUCUACACUACCGGAAGCAAAUACAUCCGAGACUGCACAUAGAUUCAAUGGUCAGUUUAAACAAGUUUUUUAACCGGUCUUUGCAGCCAUUUAUUAUAGUUAUUGAAUGUAUGCUCUUGAUUCUAUAUCACAUAUAGUACCCAAUAUUAUUAAAUGUAAUAUAAAAAUACUGAUGUAUCUACAAGUUUUUUUGUAAUUCAAUUUGUAGGCUAAUUUAAUUAACAUGUACUCAUAAUAUUCUCAUUCCAUCAAUCAACAGGGGUUUACAAAAAGCCAUGGAACUUUGGACCACCUACAUAUGUAUGCACAUAUUGUGGUGCCAUGUUAUGGUAUGAAGAACGGAUUGAAGAAACACGCACUCAUUUACAACCAAAGUUUACAUUUUGUUGCAUGGAAGGACGUGUGCAGAUACCAUUACUUAGGCAACCACCAGAAUUACUCAAGUACUUGCAAUCACCUGAAUCUGGAAAGAAGGGAAUCAAAUUCAUGGAAAACAUAAGGGCUUAUAACUGCAUGUUUGCAAUGACAUCUUUGGGAGUCCGAGUCGACAGUGCUAUAAAUAGAAGGAGAGGUCCGUUUGUGUUUCGAGCAAGUGGUGUAAAUAUUCAUUUUAUUGGUUCAUUAAUCCCGGAAAAAGAUCAACGACCAAAAUAUGCACAGCUCUAUAUCUACGACACUGAAAAUGAAGUUAGAAAUAGAAUAGCAACAAUGCAAAAGAAUGGUCCCAAUGAAGACAUUGAUGAAGAAAUUGUCUCUCAAAUAUCUAGAAUGCUGGAUGAAAAAAAUCAUUUGGUUGAAUCCUUCAGGAAGGCUCGAGACAGAUAUAAAAAUGGACCAGAAACUUCCUUUCAAUUGCGAAUUCCUGGCAGAGCGGCUCAAACUGAUUUUGAUCUAAAUUAUACUGUAAUAUUCAAUUUUAUCAUAAAAAUAAAAAUUAUGGAUUAAUAUUGUUUUUGACGGGAGGGCAGUUCGAACUAAUUUUAUUAUUAGUAUUGUGUUUGACAGGAUGACCAUUUCAAAAGAAUUUUAUACUGAUUAUAAUAUUUUUUUAUUGGUGUGUUUGACCAAAAGAUGACUCAAAAUAAUUUUUAUGCUAUUAUAAUAUUAAUUCGCAUCAAAAUUUAUAACGCCGGCGCGAAGCGCGGCUUUAUUCACUAGUACAUUUAAAAGGUUCAAUAAUCUAAUCAAUCGAAUUUCAAACAUAAUUUUGUAAUUUUGGUUUUUUUUACAACAAUAACUUUUAAGAUUCGAGUUAGAAAGAGUUAUGUAAUGGUUCGUGUUUAUAUUGAAAUAGAACACCUUAAAGUUAAAAAGAUUUAUCUGAAGAUUCUUGUUAAAAAAAGAUAUUCAAAAUUAUAGAUUUAUAAUUUUAUUUAUAACAUCAUUAUAAUUUUUUUAAUGAAAUAUUAUAUGAUAAUGUAUUGUUAUGAGUGUUUUUAGUAUUUGAAACUGUUUAACGAUAUCAUACUAAUAAACUUCACAUUUGUAGAUUUGUAGUACCAAAAGGAGAGUACUAAAUCAAAAAAUAUAUCUAAAAUCUUGGACUACAAACUAUACCAUGUUGACUUAUUAUAGUAUAGUAUAGAUUUAAAAUCCAUUAAAAUGGUGCUUAAAUGCUGAUUCAUUGAUAUUCAAUUAGAAUUGUUUAAAAUCCAUUAAAAUUUCAUAACAUUCAAAUACUUAUAGGUAUUUUUAAACUUAAUAAAAUGAUGAAUUUUAUAGAAUUGUUUAGAGUAUUUUAAGAUAUUUUAAAUCUCAUCAUAAUCCUUGAAAUUUUAAAACAUUGUGCUUAAAUUCUAAAUUAUUUGCAUUAAUCCUACAAUAUCUUAUUUAGAAUUCGCUUAGAACGAAAUCAAAUACAUACCAUUAAAAUUCAUAAAAUAUAUUAAAUAUAUUAAAAUUCCGGUUCCAUGCCCCUGUAUUACUUAUCAUGCUAGUAUAACUUAGUGGAAAUUACUAUCGCCGCAUUUUAUAUGGAAUUUCAUAAAAUUGUCCAACUUUUCAAGAUUAGUUUAAUUUUUGUAUUCUAAAAUAAUGAUGUUUGUUAAUUUUUUUAAAGGAUGGUCAGAUUUUAUAUUCAUUUAAUGAAAGAGUGGCUAUUUAUCAGGUUACAAAUUGACAUGAGUCAUUCCUUUAAAAGACAAAAAUAAAAUUUGACCAUCAAUUUAUGAAUUUAAAAUUUCAAUCACUUUUUUGAAAUUCAGUGAAAAAUAUAGUUAUCACUCAGUAUUUUAAUAAAAUAUCUUAUGAAAUUAUAUUCUUCACUAUUUGUUCGAUAUAUAAUUAUAAAUAAAUUAUCAAUAUAAACAAAUUUGAACGGUAAAAAUAUCCGCCAAAAUCAGACAGCUAUGAGGAUGUUUGGUGAGACUUAUUAUAAACUCACCUUUUGGACUUCUAAGUGAAAAUAGCUUAUUUGUAUCAUUCGUAUAACGAAUACAUAAACUAAUUUCUGAUUUAUAAUUUAGUAUUUGAUGGGUUGAAAAUUUUAACCUUUUUUAAUAACCUAUUCCACUUUGUAUCUAUAAAUAUGUAUAGGACCACUUUAAAAAAAUAAUUUAUAAUAAUUAAUUAUUGCAUUAAUAAUUUAUUAUAUCUCAAUAAAUUAUAAAUAUCAAAAAUUUUUGUUAACUUCCAAAAAUUAUCUAUAAUUCUCUUCGAACUACUUGGGGGCUAGAUUAGUCUACGGUCUACCAUCUACGUGUGGAAACAAGGCACUAGUGAUGAAUUGGAGGCAUAAAAUUCAAAUGUGGAGCUUUCUUGUGGUGUGCGCGCGGAGAAGUAUGAAAAUGUUUAUUAAAGGGCCAAACUUUGGUAAGUUUAAAAUAAUUAUUUUUUGCUUUAAGUAUAAAAAAUAAAUAAAAGUCAGAAUCAAGUUAAUGUUUAUAAAUAAUUAAAUUAUUUAGGAAAUAAUCAGAAGUCCUGAAACAAAGUCUCUAGUAAUCCUAACUUCUUUUGAGUGCUUCUUUAUUUUUUAUACAAACGUGCAAAUGAGUGUUUCCAAUUUAUAAAUCCAGAAGUCGGCUUAUAAUUGUCAGCCAAACACCACCUAAAUAUUAUUCUUUUGUAAGUUAAUUUGUGAUUUAUGAAACAUAAUGCGAGAAGUUCAAAAUUCUAACUCUUUUAGUAAUUUAUUUUUAUUUUUGAAAAUUUGAGUUUACAAAUAUGUAAAGAAUCAUUUUAAAAGAUAAUUUAUCACUUUUUAUUAUUAUAUUAAAAAUAUUUAUAUUCUAUAAAUUAAAAAUAUCAAAAAUUGUACAUACAAAUAAAUUAAAAUAAUUUUUAACUUAUAAAGAACUCCUAAAUUAUAAAUAAUUAAUUAUUUUCAAGUAAAUCAAACCGCCCUAAUUCACUCCAAAAGUUCCAAGUCAACAAGGAGUUUAAGUUCCCGGCCUUUAUACGUUGGAAAUGAGUUCCUUCACUUUUAUAUACUACCACAUUUUCUUGCGAUCAUACAUAUUCUCUUCUCGCAGGUAAGGCAUUAAUGACUUUUCUACGCUGCUCUGGUGUAUGUUUUCUUACAAGCAGGAGACCUCAGAUGGGCUUGACCAAAAAAACAACUCUGAAUCUACUUGUUUUGCUCCUUUCUGUCCUUUGCUUUGAACCUCAUCUUCAUGAAGGAGCCGAUGUCAUUGGCAUCGGUCAGACUCUCUCCGGCAACCAAACGAUAUCCUCUAAAGGUGAGACAUUUGAACUAGGUUUCUUCACACCAGGUCAGUCCAAAAAAUAUUAUAUUGGUAUAUGGUAUAAGAAUUUUGGUAAUAAAACUGUUGUGUGGGUAGCAAAUAGAAACCACCCUGUUUUCAAUCCUUAUGAUUCUCAACUGAAACUAUUCCCAAAUGGAAAUCUUGCUCUGUUGAAUGACUCAAGAAUCCAAAUUUGGUCCUCGAAUUCUACCGUGAAAAGAUAUAAUUCAUCUGUAGCGAUCCUUCUUGACAGUGGAAAUUUUGUUAUACGAGAUAAUCAAGAUUCCUCUGAUAUUAUAUGGCAAAGUUUCGAUUACCCAACAGACACCUGGCUUCCGGGUGGUAAAAUUGGCUAUAACUUCAAUAUAAAAAAGGAAAAGAUUUAUUUAACUUCGUGGCGAAAUGCUGAAGAUCCUGCCCCUGGUCGUUACUCACUUGAGCUGAACUCAGGUGCACUCGGGGUUCAAGAUUAUAAACUUUAUGGCGAUAUGACAUCUUCUUCAGGUGCAUGGAGAGGAUUGGAUUAUGAGUUAUUUCCCGAUUUUAUCUCAAAUUUUACGUAUACUUCGGACGCUAAUGAGAACGUGUUCACGUAUGAAGUUGCUAUUCCAAAAAGAGUCACGCGAUUUAUGAUCGACACGGAAGGGAAAGUUAAGCAGUUCGUGUGUCGGGGUGAUUUCCCGGCAUGUCACUGGGAUCUGCUUUGGGACUGGCCAAACACAAAGUGUGAUGUUUUGUACUUUUGUGGUACUUUUGAAACAUGCAAUGAGGGGAAAGUGUUUCCAUGUGAUUGUUUGCCAGGAUAUGAAAGAGUGUGGGAUGGAGAUUAUAGUAGCUGCAUUAGGAAAUCCCGUCUAGAAUGUGGUGUUGGAGGAGGAAGUGAGGACACAUUUUUAUCUAUUAUUGUGCAAUAUCCAUCCUCAUCAUCUACAAAAUACUCACACUUUUUGUAUGUUAAGAGUGAUGAAGAAUGCGAGUCUGCCUGUUUGAGGACUUGUACAUGCACCGGCUACUACUACGUAUCAGACGGUAAAUGUGUGAUUAUGAAUGACGAGGUUUACAAUAUCAAAUUGCCUUCUGUUGAUAUGUAUGGAAUUUCUUAUAGAGUUCGGAUUGCAAAGUCUGGAAAAGCAAGCAAGACUAGUGUUUGGAUUGUUGUAGCAGCUUCAGGGGGGUUCAUUAUUUUGCUUGCUGCAGUAAUAUUAUAUAUCUUGCAGCAGUGGAAACGAAAAAUGGGAAUAUAUGAUGGGGCAGCAGAGGAUUUGAUGGUGUUCAAGUACAAGUAUAUCAGAAAAUCAACCAAGAACUUCUCAGAAAAGCUGGGGGAAGGCGGGUUUGGGUCAGUUUUGAAAGGCACUUUACCAAACUCCAAAGCUAUAGCAGUUAAAAUGCUAAAGAAUUUGAAGCAGGGAGAGAAGCAGUUCCGUGCAGAGGUGAGCAAAAUCGGGCAAAUUCAACAUAUCAACCUUGUUCGCCUUCAAGGAUUCUGCAUACAAGGUGAAAAAAGACUUUUGGUGUUUGAUUACAUGAAGAAUGGUUCGCUUGAAAAUCACUUGUUUCGCCAA